Molecule: unclassified non-coding RNA, 221 nt
Filed under: uncultured Tomentella
Lineage: Eukaryota; Fungi; Basidiomycota; Agaricomycetes; Thelephorales; Thelephoraceae
Description: sequence contains ITS2
Source: RNAcentral
ACACCUCAACUCUUCAUGGUUUUCUGUGAUGAGCUUGAACUUUGGGGGUUUUGCUGGCCUAUGGUCAGCUCCUCUAAAACGAAUCAGCUUGCCAGUGUUUGGUGGGCAUCACAGGUGUGAUAACUAUCUACGCUUGUGGUUUUCCCACCAGGUAACCUUCAGCAGUGGAGGUUCGCUGGAGCUCACAGAUGUCUCUCCUCAGUCAGGACGACCCUUUGAAU